RNAcentral lists this ribosomal RNA (1308 nucleotides) under Escherichia coli. RNAcentral describes it as "partial 23S ribosomal RNA". It matches the Rfam family "Bacterial large subunit ribosomal RNA", at positions 612 to 1905 of the family's 2925-position model. Lineage: Bacteria; Pseudomonadati; Pseudomonadota; Gammaproteobacteria; Enterobacterales; Enterobacteriaceae. The record is from RNAcentral.
AUAAUGGGUCAGCGACUUAUAUUCUGUAGCAAGGUUAACCGAAUAGGGGAGCCGAAGGGAAACCGAGUCUUAACUGGGCGUUAAGUUGCAGGGUAUAGACCCGAAACCCGGUGAUCUAGCCAUGGGCAGGUUGAAGGUUGGGUAACACUAACUGGAGGACCGAACCGACUAAUGUUGAAAAAUUAGCGGAUGACUUGUGGCUGGGGGUGAAAGGCCAAUCAAACCGGGAGAUAGCUGGUUCUCCCCGAAAGCUAUUUAGGUAGCGCCUCGUGAAUUCAUCUCCGGGGGUAGAGCACUGUUUCGGCAAGGGGGUCAUCCCGACUUACCAACCCGAUGCAAACUGCGAAUACCGGAGAAUGUUAUCACGGGAGACACACGGCGGGUGCUAACGUCCGUCGUGAAGAGGGAAACAACCCAGACCGCCAGCUAAGGUCCCAAAGUCAUGGUUAAGUGGGAAACGAUGUGGGAAGGCCCAGACAGCCAGGAUGUUGGCUUAGAAGCAGCCAUCAUUUAAAGAAAGCGUAAUAGCUCACUGGUCGAGUCGGCCUGCGCGGAAGAUGUAACGGGGCUAAACCAUGCACCGAAGCUGCGGCAGCGACGCUUAUGCGUUGUUGGGUAGGGGAGCGUUCUGUAAGCCUGCGAAGGUGUGCUGUGAGGCAUGCUGGAGGUAUCAGAAGUGCGAAUGCUGACAUAAGUAACGAUAAAGCGGGUGAAAAGCCCGCUCGCCGGAAGACCAAGGGUUCCUGUCCAACGUUAAUCGGGGCAGGGUGAGUCGACCCCUAAGGCGAGGCCGAAAGGCGUAGUCGAUGGGAAACAGGUUAAUAUUCCUGUACUUGGUGUUACUGCGAAGGGGGGACGGAGAAGGCUAUGUUGGCCGGGCGACGGUUGUCCCGGUUUAAGCGUGUAGGCUGGUUUUCCAGGCAAAUCCGGAAAAUCAAGGCUGAGGCGUGAUGACGAGGCACUACGGUGCUGAAGCAACAAAUGCCCUGCUUCCAGGAAAAGCCUCUAAGCAUCAGGUAACAUCAAAUCGUACCCCAAACCGACACAGGUGGUCAGGUAGAGAAUACCAAGGCGCUUGAGAGAACUCGGGUGAAGGAACUAGGCAAAAUGGUGCCGUAACUUCGGGAGAAGGCACGCUGAUAUGUAGGUGAAGUCCCUUGCGGAUGGAGCUGAAAUCAGUCGAAGAUACCAGCUGGCUGCAACUGUUUAUUAAAAACACAGCACUGUGCAAACACGAAAGUGGACGUAUACGGUGUGACGCCUGCCCGGUGCCGGAAGGUUAAUUGAUGGGGUUAGCGCAAGCGAAGC